This 438-nucleotide ribosomal RNA is filed under the name Triticum aestivum (bread wheat). Its description in RNAcentral is "partial small subunit ribosomal RNA". The record is from RNAcentral. Lineage: Eukaryota; Viridiplantae; Streptophyta; Magnoliopsida; Poales; Poaceae.
AUGAGGAGCUACAUGAAGACCCAUGCCAGAACUCAGCCACCUGCGGCAAGACAACGCAACUCCAACUUUGAUGAAGAACUACGAAGGAGAACUAGGCAAGGUUGGCGCCAUGGAGGAUCACCGAACGGACCACCCAUCACACCGUAUACCACUGGGCCCCACCACAGCAGCUUCGACUUCACUGCGACAAACAGCCGAGGCAAUCCCACGGACACGUCCGAGAAGAGCCGACUACCUCAACCAGUGCCACGUCUCCGACCUCGCUCACCCCCAUCAUUGUCGCCACAGAAGCCUCGACGCGAACCGACGCCAUCCACAAGUCCCGCAUGCCGAUGUCCAGCUCCAAAGACGAAGCCCCCUAGAGGGAAAACGACACCAAGGCACCGCCAUCGUCCGAUCACCCAGGAUCAAGGGUUUCCCCCGGAGCUGCACCGUUGA